RNAcentral lists this ribosomal RNA (1459 nucleotides) under Mycoplasmopsis maculosa. RNAcentral's name for it is "16S ribosomal RNA". It matches the Rfam family "Bacterial small subunit ribosomal RNA". The record is from RNAcentral. Lineage: Bacteria; Bacillati; Mycoplasmatota; Mycoplasmoidales; Metamycoplasmataceae.
CUGGCUGUGUGCCUAAUACAUGCAUGUCGAGCGAAGGUAGCAAUACCUUAGCGGCGAAUGGGUGAGUAACACGUACUCAACGUACCUUUUAGAUUGGGAUAGCUAACGGAAACGUUGGAUAAUACCAAAUACUUAUUAGUUUCGCAUGAAACUAAUAUAAAAGGAGCCUUUAAAGCUCCGCUGAAAGAUCGGGGUGCGCAACAUUAGCUAGUUGGUGAGGUAACGGCCCACCAAGGCGAUGAUGUUUAGCGGGGUUGAGAGACUGAACCGCCACACUGGGACUGAGAUACGGCCCAGACUCCUACGGGAGGCAGCAGUAGGGAAUAUUCCACAAUGAGCGAAAGCUUGAUGGAGCGACACAGCGUGCAGGAUGAAGGUCCUAUGGAUUGUAAACUGCUGUGGUAAGGGAAGAAAAAGUAACUUAGGAAAUGAAGUUACCUUGACGGUACCUUAUUAGAAAGCAACGGCUAACUAUGUGCCAGCAGCCGCGGUAAUACAUAGGUUGCAAGCGUUAUCCGAAAUUAUUGGGCGUAAAGCGUCUGUAGGUUGUUUGUUAAGUCUGGCGUCAAAUUUUGGGGCUCAACCCCAAACCGCGUUGGAUACUGGCAGACUAGAGUUAUGUAGAGGUUAGCGGAAUUCCUUGUGAAGCGGUGAAAUGCGUAGAUAUAAGGAAGAACACCAUUAUGGCGAAGGCGGCUAACUGGGCAUACACUGACACUGAGAGACGAAAGCGUGGGGAGCAAACAGGAUUAGAUACCCUGGUAGUCCACGCCCUAAACGAUGAUCAUUAGCUGAUGGAGAAUUCGUCGGCGCAGCUAACGCAUUAAAUGAUCCGCCUGAGUAGUACGUUCGCAAGAAUAAAACUUAAAGGAAUUGACGGGGAUCCGCACAAGCGGUGGAGCAUGUGGUUUAAUUUGAAGAUACGCGUAGAACCUUACCCACUCUUGACAUCUUCUGCAAAGCUAUAGAGAUAUAGUGGAGGUUAACAGAAUGACAGAUGGUGCAUGGUUGUCGUCAGCUCGUGUCGUGAGAUGUUCGGUUAAGUCCUGCAACGAGCGCAACCCUUAUCCUUAGUUACUACCAUUAAGUUGAGGACUCUAAGGAGACUGCCGGAGUAAUCCGGAGGAAGGUGGGGACGACGUCAAAUCAUCAUGCCUCUUACGAGUGGGGCUACACACGUGCUACAAUGGACAGUACAAAGAGAAGCAAAAUGGUGACAUCAAGCAAACCUCAAAAAACUGUUCUCAGUUCGGAUUGAAGUCUGCAACUCGACUUCAUGAAGUUGGAAUCGCUAGUAAUCGUAGAUCAGCUACGCUACGGUGAAUACGUUCUCGGGUCUUGUACACACCGCCCGUCAAACCAUGGGAGCUGGUAAUGCCCGAAGUCGGUUUAUAAAGAAACUGCCUAAGGCAGGACUGGUGACUGGGGUUAAGUCGUAACAAGGUAUCCCUACGAGAAC